GCUUUUAUAAAUGAAGUUUUUGUUUCUGCUUCUGCUGGCAAUGUUGGAGCUGCUGGAAGUGUUGUGAAUGCAGCUCCUUGGUUUUUGAUAGUUGCAGCAAGUACAAUUAAUCGAGAAAGCUUUUGCUAAUUUGUGUCUUGGAAAUAGAAGAGAACUGCAGUAGCAGCUUUUGGGGAUUUUAAUCAGGUAGCAAUGUGAGUAAAGUAUGUCACUAGCUAUUGUAAAGAUACACUCGAUCUCAUCUGAUCAGUAAAAAGAUUGUGGUGUGCAUAAUUUGGAAUCAUGGGAUGAAAAAGUAUGUGAGAAAUCAGAAGUAGUAACAGAACAAGGAGGUGCUGGGAUGGUCCUCAUAUCUCCAGGUAUAGGAACUGAUAUGAUAUACAAUUUUGCAGUUCCUACCAUGAUAAUAAUUAAGAAAGGUGAAGCCGACAGAUAAAUGCGUAGCACAAAGUGAGUAUUAUAUGCCUAAAUUCAUGGGUCUUUCUUUGGUUUUUGGGUUGAACUAUAUAGUGUAAAAAUAUGUAAUUUGACAGUAUUUGUGAUAAUUGCAGUAGUCCGGUUGCAAGCUUUUUAUUCAAUAAGAACAAGGUUAAAACCUAAUCCGAGAAUAGUUAUCUUCUCUUCAAAAGGAUCUAGUUCAUUAUCUCCUGACAUCAUUA
Long non-coding RNA from Quercus lobata, 659 nucleotides. RefSeq lists it as uncharacterized. The transcript is spliced from 3 exons. The record is from RefSeq and is a predicted model, not a curated record. NCBI's taxonomy places the organism in Eukaryota, Viridiplantae, Streptophyta, Magnoliopsida, Fagales, Fagaceae.